GACGAACGCUGGCGGCGGGCUUAACACAUGCAAGUCGAACGGAAAGGCCCUGCUUUUGUGGGGUGCUCGAGUGGCGAACGGGUGAGUAACACGUGAGUAACCUGCCCUGGACUUUGGGAUAACUUCAGGAAACUGGGGCUAAUACCUGAUAGGAGCUCCUGCUGCAUGGUGGGGGUUGGAAAGUUUAGGCGGUUGGGGAUGGAUUCGCGGCUUAUCAGCUUGUUGGUGGGGUAGUGGCUUACCAAGGCUUUGACGGGUAGCCGGCCUGGGAGGGUAACCGGCGACAUUGGGACUGAGGUAGGGCCCAGACUGCUACGGGAGGCAGCAGUGGGGAAUAUUGCACAAUGGGCGGAAGCCUGAUGAAGCAACGCCGCGUGCGGGAUGAAGGCCUUCGGGUUGUAAACCGCUUUCGCCUGUGACGAAGCGUGAGUGACGGUAAUGGGUAAAGAAGCACCGGCUAACUACGUG
RNAcentral lists this ribosomal RNA (468 nucleotides) under uncultured bacterium. Its description in RNAcentral is "partial 16S ribosomal RNA". It matches the Rfam family "Bacterial small subunit ribosomal RNA", at positions 28 to 507 of the family's 1533-position model. The record is from RNAcentral.